CAUAAUAAAUGUAAACAUAAAUUCCCUAAAAAUAAAAAAAUAAUCUGAGUUAAGUACAUGUUGUAUAAAUAAAACUGUAUAAAGUUGUUAAUAUCUGUACAAAUUGAUUACAUGUUUUAUAACUAAUUACAACUUUUUUUUUAUAUUUUUAAAUCCACCCUUAUAAUCUGGUUUACUAAAAAAAAUGUGUUAGAAACCUGUAAUUCCCUCUUAUUUUAAUUAUUCAUUUAUUUAUUUCAAAAUCAUGCUACAAAUAUUGGUUCAUAACUUAAGAACCAGUCUCAUCCUGUUAAGACCAGUUUGAAGAGGAUGGUCUAAGUUAAGGGAGAUAACUGUCAUAUAUCACUGGUAAAUUAUGUCUAUCAUUUUCAUAAAUAUUUUUUAAGCUUUUAAGUAACACAGAUCAUUUGAAUUCUGUUUGACAUAAUUACUUUACAAACAUUGAUGAUAACAGAUUAUCACAAACACAUUAGCAAUUUAAAGUUAUUAAAAUUAUUUCCCUUAACCUUGAUCUAGCUCCAUAAUGGAUACCAAAAAAUGUUGGUUAGAAUUUAUAACAUAAAACGUUAUUUAGUUAAAUGCUAAUCCCCUUAAGCUUUGUACUUUG
Molecule: long non-coding RNA, 607 nt
Filed under: Mytilus galloprovincialis (Mediterranean mussel)
Lineage: Eukaryota; Metazoa; Mollusca; Bivalvia; Mytilida; Mytilidae
Source: RNAcentral